This 95-nucleotide signal recognition particle RNA is filed under the name Candidatus Babelota bacterium. RNAcentral describes it as "signal recognition particle sRNA small type". It matches the Rfam family "Bacterial small signal recognition particle RNA". Rfam says of the family: The signal recognition particle (SRP) is a universally conserved ribonucleoprotein involved in the co-translational targeting of proteins to membranes. The record is from RNAcentral.
AUUGGGGAAGUUUAUAAAGAGUAGUUGCUUAAUCUGUCAGGCCUGAAAGGGAGCAGCAGGAGUAGCGGAGCUUUUGUAUAAACUUCCCCUUUUUU